RNAcentral lists this ribosomal RNA (253 nucleotides) under uncultured bacterium. Its description in RNAcentral is "partial 16S ribosomal RNA". It matches the Rfam family "Bacterial small subunit ribosomal RNA", at positions 524 to 776 of the family's 1533-position model. The record is from RNAcentral.
UACGUAGGGCGCAAGCGUUGUCCGGAAUCAUUGGGCGUAAAGAGCUCGUAGGUGGUCUGUUACGUCUGCUGUGAAAUCCUAGGGCUUAACCCUGGGCCUGCAGUGGAUACGGGCAGACUAGAGGUAGGUAGGGGAGAAUGGAAAUCCCGGUGUAGCGGUGAAAUGCGCAGAUAUCGGGAGGAACACCGGUGGCGAAGGCGGUUCUCUGGGCCUUACCUGACACUGAGGAGCGAAAGCGUGGGGAGCGAACAGG